This 1178-nucleotide long non-coding RNA is filed under the name Triticum aestivum (bread wheat). Its description in RNAcentral is "long non-coding RNA (TAES_LNC014419)". Lineage: Eukaryota; Viridiplantae; Streptophyta; Magnoliopsida; Poales; Poaceae. The record is from RNAcentral.
CCCUGGUCAGGUUUCCAUUUCAUAGGUAUUGAAAUUAUAUACACAGUCAAUAUUUCAAACAGAUUAUAGAGCAAAUGAAAUUCAUCCAAAACAACACUAAAUAUUACAAUACAUAAUAUGCUACUCUGACCAAUAUUACACUUUGCCUGAUAUUACAAUACAUAAUAUGCUACUCUUGCUGAUAGGCUUCACGGCUUCACACUUCAUACUUCACCUAUGCAAAAAGAAGAAGAAUAAGAACCUGUAGGCAGCAUCAAACAUAGCUUAUAAGAAGAAUUGACAAUAAGCUCAAUUUAACUAGUCAACAAAUCUUCCAUCUAUAUUUCUAUCAGCAGCACACUAGAUAGGCCACACAUUUAUUCCUACAGUACAGUGAGGAAAAAACAGAUUAUGGUGCCUGCCAAGUGACGUAAAAUCAUAUUAUCAGCAACACACUAGAUAGGCCACACAUUUAUUACAUUUACAUGGUGGUGGCUGGCUGGCAACCAUGGCUGCUAGCUCAUGCUGCCAGUGUGCAUGCACAUCUCCCCGCUGGAACCAACCCAACCCAAACGAAGCAACAGUAGCAAACCACACAUGUACCAGUAAACUUCAGUAUGAAACAAUUCAUCGCCGAAAUAAACUACCAAAUCAUUUCCAAGAAUUUCGAAGAAACCACCUCAAGUCGAUUCAGCCAAGGAUAUUAUUUUCCACAAGCAAAAAACUAUGGUUCAGCUCCCACAUGGGCAUGGGGUUUUUGGGUUUCAAGACACAAAUCACAGAACUGGAUGGGCAUAUAGAAGGUACACUAUGAAUCUACGGCGUCAACCUGCUGGAGUUACUUGUCCUCAGUGAUGAGCAACUGCUUCCUCCUUGGGCUUGGUCAUCUGGACAGCCAAAAAAACAUGCAACUGUAAGAAGAUGGAUUGAUGGUAAAAAGAGUGAAGAAUUGUGAUUCAGUGAACAGAAAAGCAUAUGUACAUUAUAAUACUGCAGACAAGAAAAUAAUAAUCCUAAUAUGAAGAUAAGUGUUUUUCUUAUUGAUGGCUGUAAGAUGGACUGAUCGUAAAAAGAGAGAAGAAUUUUGAUUCAGUGAACAGAAAACAAGACGUUAUUAUUCAGCUGUGAUACUCGAUAUUUGACAAGUAUUGAUAUUUGACAAGUAUGGUUUCAUGUAUACUCCUACAAGUUAGGCAGAG